This 115-nucleotide ribosomal RNA is filed under the name Mesocricetus auratus (golden hamster). The record is from RNAcentral. Lineage: Eukaryota; Metazoa; Chordata; Mammalia; Rodentia; Cricetidae.
UUCCGUGACCAUACCAUCUUGAAUGUGUCUAAUCUAAUGCCGUCUUGGAAGCUAAACAUUGUUGGGCCUGGUUAGUACUUGAAUGUGACAUAAGGGCAUACAUUUGAUGUGGUUC